Molecule: long non-coding RNA, 230 nt
Filed under: Elaeis guineensis (African oil palm)
Lineage: Eukaryota; Viridiplantae; Streptophyta; Magnoliopsida; Arecales; Arecaceae
Description: long non-coding RNA (EGUI_LNC019406)
Source: RNAcentral
UGUAUUUUGGAUUGAUAAUCCAGAUUAUCUUCCAUAAAAUAAUAUAGAUUAUCAAGAGUAGGGGUGGCUAUCCAGAUUAUCAAAUAUUUGAUAAUCUGAUAAUAAAAAAUUUGGACGAAACUAUCUUCAUCAAACAAACACAAUCUAAACUCCUUCUCGUUCUCCCGCUCAUCAUCCUCUUCAUCCUCCUCGCUGCUAAACCACCCAUUGUCGCAUGGACAGCCGUCGGG